RNAcentral lists this ribosomal RNA (497 nucleotides) under uncultured bacterium. Its description in RNAcentral is "partial 16S ribosomal RNA". It matches the Rfam family "Bacterial small subunit ribosomal RNA", at positions 28 to 507 of the family's 1533-position model. The record is from RNAcentral.
GAUGAACGCUGGCGGCGUGCCUAAUACAUGCAAGUCGAGCGAACAGACGAGGAGCUUGCUCCUCUGACGUUAGCGGCGGACGGGUGAGUAACACGUGGAUAUCCUACCUAUAAGACUGGGAUAACUUCGGGAAACCGGAGCUAAUACCGGAUAAUAUAUUGAACCGCAUGGUUCAAUAGUGAAAGACGGUUUUGCUGUCACUUAUAGAUGGAUCCGCGCCGCAUUAGCUAGUUGGUAAGGUAACAGCUUACCAAGGCAACGAUGCGUAGCCGACCUGAGAGGGUGAUCGGCAACACUGGAACUGAGACACGGUCCAGACUCCUACGGGAGGCAGCAGUAGGGAAUCUUCCGCAAUGGGCGAAAGCCUGACGGAGCAACGCCGCGUGAGUGAUGAAGGUCUUCGGAUCGUAAAACUCUGUUAUUAGGGAAGAACAAAUGUGUAAGUAACUAUGCACGUCUUGACGGUACCUAAUCAGAAAGCCACGGCUAGCUACGUG